This 157-nucleotide ribosomal RNA is filed under the name Amylostereum areolatum. RNAcentral's name for it is "5.8S ribosomal RNA". It matches the Rfam family "5.8S ribosomal RNA". From Rfam's summary of the family: 5.8S ribosomal RNA (5.8S rRNA) is a component of the large subunit of the eukaryotic ribosome. It is transcribed by RNA polymerase I as part of the 45S precursor that also contains 18S and 28S rRNA. The record is from RNAcentral. Lineage: Eukaryota; Fungi; Basidiomycota; Agaricomycetes; Russulales; Stereaceae.
CAACUUUCAACAACGGAUCUCUUGGCUCUCGCAUCGAUGAAGAACGCAGCGAAAUGCGGUAAGUAAUGUGAAUUGCAGAAUUCAGUGAAUCAUCGAAUCUUUGAACGCACCUUGCGCCCCUUGGUAUUCCGAGGGGCACACCUGUUUGAGUGUCGUG